GUACCCGGCACAGCUACGAGCACACAGGAUCAUUCAUCAUCCAUUAAAAACAUAUUCUGAUGGCCAAUAACAUUGCGACUAACAACAGCACGAUACCCAGCAACUCCAUAAACCGUGGGAACCUUAAUAAUGUAUUCGCCAAGGCAGUUGCCGCUCAAGACGCCUUUCGCAUGUAGCAGCUUUAAACUUAAUGUAAUUUUUAAGGUUAAAACAUAGAUAUUGAUGUAAUUUUUAAAAAUGGUAACACACACAAAACAGGAAUAUAGCGUCCAGACACAGCAUACAUCACCUCGGGGGAGUCAGCGUGCACCAGGGCGAGCGGCUGCGUGUCAUUGCCGCCCGUGCAAUUAUGGCCCAGCCAGUCGUGUACGGUCACAUUGACUUUGAUGUCCGUGUUGGAGGUAUAGAAGUCCAGGCGGGCAGGACUCUGCAAAAGGGGCCAUGCAACGCAUUCCAGUCGCCCUCACAACAGGCAGACAAGCGAUCCGGGAGCGAGAAAGAAUGACGGCAAUCACGGAGUCCCAGGUUCGGUAACUGAAAGGGCGCGGAGGAUAACGGCUCGCGCUGCGGCACGAGUGCAGCAAUGCGGUUGCUGAUGGCGCGGCAUAUGCAUCAAGGACCACGGAGGCGGACAUCGGCCUGCACGCAUCACGUCCGCCAUCCGUCACGCAGUGCGAAGCCAGUAACACUCGUUACACCUCUCUGGGUAACGCAACCGAUGUGUAAAACGCGCACACACACACACACUCUCUCUCUCUCUCAUCAGCACUUCAGGGGCUCUUAUGCAAACCUCAA
This 795-nucleotide long non-coding RNA is filed under the name Volvox carteri. RNAcentral's name for it is "long non-coding RNA (VCAR_LNC002140)". The record is from RNAcentral. Lineage: Eukaryota; Viridiplantae; Chlorophyta; Chlorophyceae; Chlamydomonadales; Volvocaceae.